This 254-nucleotide ribosomal RNA is filed under the name uncultured bacterium. Its description in RNAcentral is "partial 16S ribosomal RNA". It matches the Rfam family "Bacterial small subunit ribosomal RNA", at positions 524 to 776 of the family's 1533-position model. The record is from RNAcentral.
UACGUAGGGUGCGAGCGUUGUCCGGAAUUAUUGGGCGUAAAGAGCUCGUAGGCGGUGUGUCGCGUCGGCCGUGAAAACCUGGGGCUCAACUCUGGGCGUGCGGUCGAUACGGGCAUCACUUGAGUUCGGCAGGGGAGACUGGAAUUCCUGGUGUAGCGGUGAAAUGCGCAGAUAUCAGGAGGAACACCGGUGGCGAAGGCGGGUCUCUGGGCCGAUACUGACGCUGAGGAGCGAAAGCAUGGGCAGCGAACAGG